RNAcentral lists this transfer RNA (73 nucleotides) under Paroedura karstophila. RNAcentral's name for it is "tRNA-Asn". Lineage: Eukaryota; Metazoa; Chordata; Lepidosauria; Squamata; Gekkonidae. The record is from RNAcentral.
CAGGCCUUGAUCCUGCAAAAAUUAAUUAACAACUAAACGUUCAAUCCAGAGAACUUUAGCCCACUUCUCCCGU